UACGUAGGUGGCGAGCGUUGUCCGGAUUUACUGGGCGUAAAGAGCGCGCAGGCGGUCGUUCAAGUCGCGUGUGAAAGCCCCCGGCUCAACUGGGGAGGGUCACGCGAUACUGAUCGACUCGAAGGCAGGAGAGGGAAGUGGAAUUCCCGGUGUAGUGGUGAAAUGCGUAGAUAUCGGGAGGAACACCCGUGGCGAAGGCGGCCAGCUGGGCCGUCCCUGACGCUGAGGCGCGAAGGCGUGGGGAGCGAACGGG
RNAcentral lists this ribosomal RNA (253 nucleotides) under uncultured bacterium. Its description in RNAcentral is "partial 16S ribosomal RNA". It matches the Rfam family "Bacterial small subunit ribosomal RNA", at positions 524 to 776 of the family's 1533-position model. The record is from RNAcentral.